Long non-coding RNA from Callithrix jacchus (white-tufted-ear marmoset), 712 nucleotides. NCBI's taxonomy places the organism in Eukaryota, Metazoa, Chordata, Mammalia, Primates, Cebidae. The record is from Ensembl.
UUUUCUGUUUCCCAGGCUGGAAUGCAGUGGUGUAGUCUCAGCUGAUUGCAACCUCCACAUCCCAGGUUCAAGUGAUCCUCUUGCCUCAGUCUCCUGAGUAGGCAAAGAAACCCGUUUUAUGGUGUGAAAGAGGUGUGUUCAUGGACGCAAGGCAAUUGCAUACUGAACACCACGUCACUCAUAAAGGUGAGGCCCGAGAACAUUAAUAGUGAAGCUAAGCAUAAGCUGGGAAUUGAUAUGCAUGGGGUUGCAGUGUUGUCCUUAAGACGCAGAAUGUAUGUUGACCCUAUGGCCAUUUAACCAUUAAGAUAGACUGUAUGAGUCCAAGAACCAAGGAGUAAAAAGUGGUAUGCUAUUAUUUUCAUUACUCUGAGAAACCCAGUGCUUAAGCUUCCAGGAACUAGCCAGGUACUAGCCCUGCAAAUAGGUAUUUCUUGGGAAUAUGAAAGAUUUGAUCAGUCUCAUCCACUGAGGUAACCUUUCUUUGCUCAGUUAUUUAGAAAUAUGGAUGUAAAUACCAGGUGAACUCCAAAAAAAUAAAAUAAAACCUAGAAAAUGGGGAAGUGUUCACUUUUAUGUGAUAGAACUAAGGAAAUGCAAAGUGUUCGGCACAGUGCUCCUUGUUUAAGUAAUAAGUCUUAUAAAUAACAAAGCUGGAAGGUAUUAAGUUUUAACCAUACGUAUAUACAGUUAUGUAUUUCUCUAAUAUAGA